GAAUCCCUAGCACAAGAACACACACAUCAAAGAGUUUUAUGAAGCAAAUCAAGAAUGGACAAGAGUGAGUUUAGAGGUUUGGUCCUUCAUGAUCAUCUUCAACAAUAAGGUACUUUUACUCCAAUUUUUACAUAGGGAAUGUCCUAGAAACUAAGUCCAUUUAUCCAUUUCUUUGAAUUUGGUCCACAACAAUCAAAUCAAAACACAAGCACAAUAAUAUAUACA
Molecule: long non-coding RNA, 225 nt
Filed under: Lathyrus oleraceus (garden pea)
Lineage: Eukaryota; Viridiplantae; Streptophyta; Magnoliopsida; Fabales; Fabaceae
Description: Pisum sativum (pea) long non-coding RNA (PSAT_LNC026236)
Source: RNAcentral